AUGCAGAGAAAUUCUUGGGGAAAACCUGCAGAAUUCAGAUGCUUACUGUAUUCACUGGCUGAAGAGUCAUCUGUGCAUACACCUCAUCAGUAUCCGGGUCUGCCUGAAAAAAAAAUCAAGAGACAACAUCUUUCAGAGCUUGCAAUAGCGGGCAUGCCGUGUUUGUCGAACAGUAGGGGCAGUGGUCUGUUAGAUUACUUGCAAAGUGACGCUGUGCAGAAGACAUAUCAACUUCGAUGGAAGGUUGGGGUAGCUCGGCACGUGUGCUUCGACAUCCUUUUGCAUAGAAGCUGCAACCUGAACCAGACACAUACCAAGUCCAAUGCAGAAUCAGUGGAAGGUGCAACAGAAAUCAGGACCAUAAAUGCAAGCAAUGCAAAGCUAUACAUGGAUGCAUGUUGCAUGUACCAAACUUGA
This 417-nucleotide ribosomal RNA is filed under the name Triticum aestivum (bread wheat). RNAcentral describes it as "partial small subunit ribosomal RNA". The record is from RNAcentral. Lineage: Eukaryota; Viridiplantae; Streptophyta; Magnoliopsida; Poales; Poaceae.